Molecule: long non-coding RNA, 1079 nt
Organism: Oncorhynchus kisutch (coho salmon)
Lineage: Eukaryota; Metazoa; Chordata; Actinopteri; Salmoniformes; Salmonidae
Exons: 2
Source: RefSeq, a predicted model, not a curated record
AAGUGAUUGUCAAUCUGAGAGAAAGAGAGUAGGCCAGAAGCCCCCCAGACACCCUUUUGUUUGUUUCUUUGUGUUAGUUAACCUCUUUUGUAGUUUGGUACAUAUUUAUUUUGUCACCAUCUGAACAAAUAAUAAUAUCUGGGACUGGCUGACCAAAAGAUCAAGACGGAGCUGGCCUUGGACCUAAGUUAAGGAGUCCUUGGAUGCAGCGGUAGCAGAAGAUGUGUCCACAGCCGGUUUGGUGUGGGUUGAGAACUACUCCUUUACAGGUGGGACAAACAUAGUGCUCUUCCAGCUUCUUCACAAACUUCAAACUGUGCUGCACUGCAGUCAAGUCCGAUUCCCACGGUCCCGCCACUCCCGAAUUCUGCCUGGAGAGUCCUCCGGAUCCACUCGGGUCACUCUCCUUUGUUGCCAUGGCAAUCUGUAGGCUGACAGGUGUGCGGUAGAUGUCGGACAGUUUGUAGACCUAUGCAAAUGUACAUCUACAAAGACUCUGUUGACAUUAACAUUUCCUAUUCCAGAAGUCCUGCAAUUGACUGACUACCUGCAUGAAUUUGACAUUCAGAAAAUCCCAUUCAAAGCUCUCCAUAAUGAGAUAUAGUCCAAACAUUUGUGCAUGAAAGUGUUUAGUAAAUAGGGGGAGGGGUUUAUGUAAUAUCCCCACAUUUUAAAACAAACCUAUCUUUUUUAAGGAGUUUAUUCACAUGGACUUAUAACCAGGGCCGUAGCUACAUAUGAGGACACCGAGGUCUGGACCUCCUGUAAUAUUUUUUAAUACAAAAUAAAUACAUUGUCAGUCACUUAAUUAGACCAUGGCUGUUAACCUUUUUUAGAUUGGUAAAUGAGUCGUUAGUCUAGCCAGCUAAACUUUCAUGGCUGAAUUACCGACCCGGAUCGCAAAGCAUGUACCCAGGGGUCCUGACAUCCAAGGGGCCCACAUUCGUUCUGGUAUUUACUCUUGUAUCAUAAUAACAUGGCAAAACAUGUAGAAUUGCAGGAAAUUGUCUGUAAACUACAACAAAUCUGUAAAAAUGUAUUUGUUGACCUUUUUUGUAAAUAAAAUACUUUUCUGCCAA